UACGGGGGGAGCAAGCGUUGUUCGGAUUUACUGGGCGUAAAGGGCGCGUAGGCGGUCGUGACAAGUCACUUGUGAAAUCUCCGAGCUUAACUCGGAAAGGUCAACUGAUACUGUGCGGCUAGAGUGCAGAAGGGGCAACUGGAAUUCUUGGUGUAGCGGUGAAAUGCGUAGAUAUCAAGAGGAACACCUGCGGCGAAGGCGGGUUGCUGGGCUGACACUGACGCUGAGGCGCGAAAGCUAGGGGAGCGAACGGG
RNAcentral lists this ribosomal RNA (254 nucleotides) under uncultured bacterium. RNAcentral's name for it is "partial 16S ribosomal RNA". It matches the Rfam family "Bacterial small subunit ribosomal RNA", at positions 524 to 776 of the family's 1533-position model. The record is from RNAcentral.